Molecule: transfer RNA, 77 nt
Filed under: Candidatus Saccharimonadota bacterium
Lineage: Bacteria; Candidatus Saccharimonadota
Also listed under: 1 other name
Description: tRNA-Ala
Rfam family: tRNA
About the family: Transfer RNA (tRNA) molecules are approximately 80 nucleotides in length. Their secondary structure includes four short double-helical elements and three loops (D, anti-codon, and T loops).
Source: RNAcentral
GGGGCGUUAGCUCAGUUGAUUAGAGCGCUUCAAUGGCAUUGAAGAGGUCAUGAGUUUGAGUCUCAUACGCUCCACCA